RNAcentral lists this ribosomal RNA (276 nucleotides) under Triticum aestivum (bread wheat). RNAcentral's name for it is "partial small subunit ribosomal RNA". Lineage: Eukaryota; Viridiplantae; Streptophyta; Magnoliopsida; Poales; Poaceae. The record is from RNAcentral.
AUGGCCGACUACCCUUCCACCGUCCCAGCCUCCACCAGGGCCAUCCAGGGCCUGCGUGUGCCGGAGGUGGGCAAGACUAGGGAGCUCGACUGCGCGGUCUGCCUCGAGGACUUCCAGGACGGCGACGAGCUCCGGACCAUGCCGUGCUCCCACUCCUUCCACCGGUGCUGCAUCUUCCGCUGGCUCGAGAUCAGCCGCGUGUGCCCCUACUGCCGCUUCACGCUGCCCUCUGUCGACGAGCUGCAGGUGCUGGACCUGGACCUGGCGGACGAGUAG